RNAcentral lists this ribosomal RNA (478 nucleotides) under uncultured bacterium. RNAcentral describes it as "partial 16S ribosomal RNA". It matches the Rfam family "Bacterial small subunit ribosomal RNA", at positions 28 to 507 of the family's 1533-position model. The record is from RNAcentral.
GAUGAACGCUGGCGGCGUGCUUAACACAUGCAAGUCGAACGGGAAACCUUUUAUUGAAGCUUCGGCAGAUUUCGCUGGUUUCUAGUGGCGGACGGGUGAGUAACGCGUGGGUAACCUGCCUUAUACAGGGGGAUAACAGUCAGAAAUGGCUGCUAAUACCGCAUAAGCGCACAGAGCUGCAUGGCUCAGUGUGAAAAACUCCGGUGGUAUAAGAUGGACCCGCGUUGGAUUAGCUGGUUGGUGGGGUAACGGCCCACCAAGGCGACGAUCCAUAGCCGGCCUGAGAGGGUGAACGGCCACAUUGGGACUGAGACACGGCCCAGACUCCUACGGGAGGCAGCAGUGGGGAAUAUUGCACAAUGGGGGAAACCCUGAUGCAGCGACGCCGCGUGAAGGAAGAAGUAUCUCGGUAUGUAAACUUCUAUCAGCAGGGAAGAUAAUGACGGUACCUGACUAAGAAGCCCCGGCUAACUACGUG